ACAAGCACACAACAGUGCGUGUGUGUAAAUGUAUAUAAAAACGGGGGCAACACCAAACUACGUCAUAAGAGCUGCGCGCGUGGCGACGUGUCCGCAGUACGAAGCAAACUGGAACCAGCUAUAAAUUAGUAGUUGACGUCUGACCUCGGGCUCCGCUGGGUGUCUGUGACUUUGGCCAUUUUGAGUUUGCAGGUCAUUUCGCAACGUUUGGUGUGCCCCGCAAUCGGCAGGAUAUUAUUUUCUGUGUUGUCUCUGGUUUGCGGACGGAUGGAGUUAAGGAGUGAUUUCCAUCUCUGGAGAGACUACCUGCGGCUGGCGGAUACGGUCCUGGCCAUACAAUCCGGGAGUGUCGCGCCGGAAGAUCCAGAUCGGGUCGGAAUUCAGCUAAAAUCUGGCCGACAACAUCUUUCAACGGAGCGAUAUUGUGCGAAUGGCGGGGGGAAGAGAGCCUCCAGUGAACCCGCGACUGGACCCCGGCAGUCCCGAGAAAAGGAAUCCCAGAAGUCGAGACGCCCCUUCUGCAGUUUUUGUAGGAAAAAUGGGGAGUCAGAGCUCGUCUUUCGUUCGCACUGGCUCCGGGACCGAGCGGGCGGUGUGAGCUGCCCGUACUUACGGGAGUACGUGUGUCCGCUGUGCUUGGCCACUGGGCCCAAGGCGCACACAAGGCGGCAUUGCCCGCAUGCUGACACUACCUACUGCUCAGUGUACGCCAGGGCUCCCCGCUGAGCCGGGAGUCGACGUUUUAAAGAGACAUUUAAAAUGAAACUUUUAAAAAUUUAUUUUAAUUUAACCAUUUCACAGUCUGUUUAUGUGCGUGUUUUUCACAUUUUGUUUUGGUUUAAGAUUUGUUGGACGAUCUUGAUGUGAUGUGUGUAUUUUUUAUGGUUUGUUUACGUGUUCUCACUUGUCUUGCUUUUUUGCACAGAGUGUUACUGCCUUUUUAAUUAACUAGCCUUUCUCGCUGAUUACCCUAUUAACAUGUUCUCAGGCUUUGGUGUCCCGUUUUAUUGGUGGCUCAUUCCCUCUUGCUUAUCACUAAGACUUGUUUCUGGAAUCUGAUGACGGAUGCUGUCCCUCACUUAAUUGCAGAAAGCCUUUUAAAAGUCUUGUGCUUCUUGUGAAAUAUUUCAGUUGAUGCAAGUGCUGUUUUGAAUGGAUCAUGUACACCAGCGCAUACGCUGAUUUUAAUUUGCAUAAUGAAUUAAGAGAGACUGAAUAACAA
Long non-coding RNA from Brienomyrus brachyistius, 1222 nucleotides. RefSeq lists it as uncharacterized. The record is from RefSeq and is a predicted model, not a curated record. The transcript is spliced from 2 exons. NCBI's taxonomy places the organism in Eukaryota, Metazoa, Chordata, Actinopteri, Osteoglossiformes, Mormyridae.